GAUGAACGCUGGCGGCGUGCCUAAUACAUGCAAGUCGAGCGAACGGACGAGAAGCUUGCUUCUCUGAUGUUAGCGGCGGACGGGUGAGUAACACGUGGAUAACCUACCUAUAAGACUGGGAUAACUUCGGGAAACCGGAGCUAAUACCGGAUAAUAUUUUGAACCGCAUGGUUCAAAAGUGAAAGACGGUCUUGCUGUCACUUAUAGAUGGAUCCGCGCUGCAUUAGCUAGUUGGUAAGGUAACGGCUUACCAAGGCAACGAUGCAUAGCCGACCUGAGAGGGUGAUCGGCCACACUGGAACUGAGACACGGUACAGACUCCUACGGGAGGCAGCAGUAGGGAAUCUUCCGCAAUGGGCGAAAGCCUGACGGAGCAACGCCGCGUGAGUGAUGAAGGUCUUCGGAUCGUAAAACUCUGUUAUUAGGGAAGAACAUACGUGUAAGUAACUGUGCACAUCUUGACGGUACCUAAUCAGAAAGCCACGGCUAACUACGUG
RNAcentral lists this ribosomal RNA (497 nucleotides) under uncultured bacterium. Its description in RNAcentral is "partial 16S ribosomal RNA". It matches the Rfam family "Bacterial small subunit ribosomal RNA", at positions 28 to 507 of the family's 1533-position model. The record is from RNAcentral.